Molecule: ribosomal RNA, 501 nt
Filed under: Triticum aestivum (bread wheat)
Lineage: Eukaryota; Viridiplantae; Streptophyta; Magnoliopsida; Poales; Poaceae
Description: partial small subunit ribosomal RNA
Source: RNAcentral
AUGAAGAAAAUUGAAGAGCGUGCAGCUGAGAAGUCUGCCCGCCCGUCAAAGAUCGACUGGGUCGAAGCUGGUGUUGUCUCUCCGGUCGUGAGGAACCAAAAAGGUUGCGGCUGCUGUUGGGCCAUGGCUGCUGUAGCCUCGGUCGAAGCAGUACACAAUCUGAAGACCUCACAGUCAAUCUCCCUAUCAGUUCAAGAGCUCAUUGACUGCAACUUCAACAUACUGAACAGAGGCUGCCAGCAUGGCACAACUGAUUUGCUGAAUUACAAAGGAGGCAUCAUGGACUAUGAAACCUUGCCAGAAGAAACUAAAAGGCACGCGGUCUUGAUUGUGGGUUAUGGCACGGAUCCCGACGGUGUUAAGUAUUGGCGCUUUAAAAACUCAUGGGGAGAGGGUUGGGGCGAGGGUGGGUUUGGGAGGAUACGCAGACAUGUUGCCGACAAGAGAGGUGUCUUGGGUAUAUUUAUGAAGCCAGGGCUGUAUCCGGUGCUUAAUAUCUGA